UACAGAGGGUGCAAGCGUUGUUCGGAAUUAUUGGGCGUAAAGCGCGUGUAGGCGGCUUGGCAAGUCGGGUGUGAAAUCCCUCAGCUCAACUGAGGAAGUGCGCCCGAAACUGCUUUGCUUGAGUGCCGGAGAGGAUGGCGGAAUUCCCCAAGUAGAGGUGAAAUUCGUAGAUAUGGGGAGGAACACCGGCGGCGAAGGCGGCGCUCUGGGCCGGAACUGACGCUGAGGAGCGAAAGCGUGGGUAGCAAACAGG
This 253-nucleotide ribosomal RNA is filed under the name uncultured bacterium. RNAcentral describes it as "partial 16S ribosomal RNA". It matches the Rfam family "Bacterial small subunit ribosomal RNA", at positions 524 to 776 of the family's 1533-position model. The record is from RNAcentral.